UCUCUCUCUGUCUGUCUUUCUUUUCCCUUCUUACUCUCACAUGACACUCUUUAUAUUUGUCUGGUUUUGUUAAAAAGGCUGUUUGUUUUGUCUUCUUCAUUGCAUCAAGUAUCAAACACCAUCAUAGGUUCAGGGAAUCUCAUUCACUGGGUCUCUUUCAUUCAUUUUUGGGCAUUUGCACUCUUUCUUUUUAUUCAUUACUAGUAUUCAUUCAAUAGAUGUUGUUGUCCAGUUUUCUGUUUCACCGGCAACAAGACUUCUCUUUUGACCUGCCCUGACAGAAACUCAUUUUUCAAUAAGUAAACAGUGGACAUUCACUUCUAUUGUUUGCUGUUGUUCUCCUCAUAUCUCUUUGUGAGGAUAUCUAACUUUUGAGGAAAUCCUGUACAAUGUCAGCUUGAUGAUUCGCUUCUACUUUUGCAUGUGUUACGAACGCCUCUGAUUUUGACCCUGGAGCUGGAUGUUUUUUAUACUGGUAUCUAUGCCGAUCUGUCGUUUUAUGACUUAGCAAGAUGAAUGACUAUAAUGCGCAGUACGAGGUCCCGCCGAUGGCCGCUUCGUACCUUCGUGCACAAAAUAUCCCCACGUUCCCAUUGUCUUCUCCUAUAAAAGAAGAAAUCUACACCCCUUUCGAAUCACCCGACAGUUCGCAAUUGGCAGCGGCAGCACCAGCACAGGACAAAGAAAACCCUUCUUCCUGGUCCGAGGACUAUUUUACUCUGGGACAAACUCGUUUUGAAGCCAGCAAUGCGAAACGGUUUGUUGGCCAAACGGAGGAUAAAGAGAAGCUUCUUGGCGAAAACUCUCAAGCCCCCCGUCCCAGCCGUUGGGAUUCCAUUAAACGUCCCGGUCGAACUAUCAUGAAACGAAACCCUAAGGAGGCCGCAACGAACAAGAAAACGCGCCCUGGGCUCAACCUCGUCACGAACUUUUCCAAUGAUACGAAGUAUAGACGGGAUGCGGUGUCGAAGCGUCGGCAGUCGGCUGGUGGGAGAGGAUAUAUUGACCUGAAUGACCUGAGGUUUCUCUCGAAGGGGAAAGAAACUUCUGCUAGGCCAGCACCUGCGAACAGACUGCUGCCGGAACGGAAACUGUCGUCAACAAGGGGUUAUGGGGAGAUCAAAGACGAUGUUGAAGAUACCUCACAGGGCGUGCAGGCCACUUCCUUUGUUAAGCAAAUGAAGAAAUCUCCCCUGGAUGCCUUGCGGGUUUCUCCUAGCAAAACGCAGGAUUUAUCGCCCUCCGACCGCCCUAUUAUGAUUGGACUGAGUGUUCCAUACCGCGACGCCGCUAGCCCGGGAAAAACAAAAAAGCUCGCGGGUGACAGCACUCCGGCUAAGAACAACGUUGGGACCCCAAACAGCCAAAGAAGCACAAAUACUACGCCGAUUACCCCGACCAUCAUCAUCACGCCCGCGAGAGAGGAUAAUCCUUGGGAUACCUUUAGCAG
Molecule: small RNA, 1450 nt
Filed under: Histoplasma capsulatum
Lineage: Eukaryota; Fungi; Ascomycota; Eurotiomycetes; Onygenales; Ajellomycetaceae
Also listed under: 1 other name
Description: hypothetical RNA
Source: RNAcentral